This 495-nucleotide ribosomal RNA is filed under the name uncultured bacterium. Its description in RNAcentral is "bacterial SSU rRNA". It matches the Rfam family "Bacterial small subunit ribosomal RNA", at positions 899 to 1397 of the family's 1533-position model. The record is from RNAcentral.
ACUCAAAGGAAUAGACGGGGACCCGCACAAGCAGCGGAGCAUGUGGUUUAAUUCGAAGCAACGCGAAAAACCUUACCAAGACUUGACAUCGAGUGCAACCCUCAGAAACGGGGGCCUCCUUCGGGACACGAAGACAGGUGGUGCAUGGUUGUCGUCAGCUCGUGUCGUGAGAUGUUCGGUUAAGUCCGGCAACGAGCGCAACCCUUAUAGUCAGUUGCCAUCAUUAAGUUGGGAACUCUGGCUAGACUGCCGCAGAUAAUGCGGAGGAAGGCGGGGAUGAUGUCAAAUCAUCAUGCCCCUUACGUCUUGGGCUACACACGUGCUACAAUGGGCGCUACAAAGAGCAGCAAACUGGUAACGGUAAGCGAAUCUCAAAAAAGCGUUCUCAGUUCAGAUUGAGGGCUGAAACCCGCCCUCAUGAAGCAGGAGUUGCUAGUAAUCCCGAAUCAGCAUGUCGGGGUGAAUGCGUUCCCGGGUCUUGUACACACCGCCCGU